This 29-nucleotide non-coding RNA is filed under the name Cricetulus griseus (Chinese hamster). The record is from RNAcentral. Lineage: Eukaryota; Metazoa; Chordata; Mammalia; Rodentia; Cricetidae.
GAUUUUUGGCUUUUCUCUCCUCCUUCAGA